GGGCGAUUGGCGCAGUUGGCUAGCGCGCUACAAUGACACUGUAGAGGUCACUGGUUCGAGUCCAGUAUCGCCCA
Molecule: transfer RNA, 74 nt
Filed under: Phycisphaeraceae bacterium
Lineage: Bacteria; Pseudomonadati; Planctomycetota; Phycisphaerae; Phycisphaerales; Phycisphaeraceae
Also listed under: 1 other name
Description: tRNA-Val
Rfam family: tRNA
About the family: Transfer RNA (tRNA) molecules are approximately 80 nucleotides in length.
Source: RNAcentral